This 497-nucleotide ribosomal RNA is filed under the name uncultured bacterium. RNAcentral describes it as "partial 16S ribosomal RNA". It matches the Rfam family "Bacterial small subunit ribosomal RNA", at positions 28 to 507 of the family's 1533-position model. The record is from RNAcentral.
GACGAACGCUGGCGGCGUGCCUAAUACAUGCAAGUUGAGCGCUGAAGGUUGGUACUUGUACCAACUGGAUGAGCAGCGAACGGGUGAGUAACGCGUGGGGAAUCUGCCUUUGAGCGGGGGACAACAUUUGGAAACGAAUGCUAAUACCGCAUAAAAACUUUAAACACAAGUUUUAAGUUUGAAAGAUGCAAUUGCAUCACUCAAAGAUGAUCCCGCGUUGUAUUAGCUAGUUGGUGAGGGAAAGGCUCACCAAGGCGAUGAUACAUAGCCGACCUGAGAGGGUGAUCGGCCAAAUUGGGACUGAGACACGGCCCAAACUCCUACGGGAGGCAGCAGUAGGGAAUCUUCGGCAAUGGAAGAAAGUCUGACCGAGCAACGCCGCGUGAGUGAAGAAGGUUUUCGGAUCGUAAAACUCUGUUGGUAGAGAAGAACGUUGGUGAGAGUGGAAAGCUCAUCAAGUGACGGUAACUACCCAGAAAGGGACGGCUAACUACGUG